GACGAACGCUGGCGGCGUGCCUAAUACAUGCAAGUAGAACGCUGAAGAGAGGAGCUUGCUCUUCUUGGAUGAGUUGCGAACGGGUGAGUAACGCGUAGGUAACCUGCCUUGUAGCGGGGGAUAACUAUUGGAAACGAUAGCUAAUACCGCAUAACAAUGGAUGACCCAUGUCAUUUAUUUGAAAGGGGCAAAUGCUCCACUACAAGAUGGACCUGCGUUGUAUUAGCUAGUAGGUGAGGUAACGGCUCACCUAGGCGACGAUACAUAGCCGACCUGAGGGGGUGAUCGGCCACACUGGGACUGAGACACGGCCCAGACUCCUACGGGAGGCAGCAGUAGGGAAUCUUCGGCAAUGGGGGCAACCCUGACCGAGCAACGCCGCGUGAGUGAAGAAGGUUUUCGGAUCGUAAAGCUCUGUUGUAAGUCAAGAACGAGUGUGAGAGUGGAAAGUUCACACUGUGACGGUAGCUUACCAGAAAGGGACGGCUAACUACGUG
This 497-nucleotide ribosomal RNA is filed under the name uncultured bacterium. Its description in RNAcentral is "partial 16S ribosomal RNA". It matches the Rfam family "Bacterial small subunit ribosomal RNA", at positions 28 to 507 of the family's 1533-position model. The record is from RNAcentral.